Molecule: ribosomal RNA, 800 nt
Filed under: uncultured Bacteroidota bacterium
Lineage: Bacteria; Pseudomonadati; Bacteroidota
Description: bacterial SSU rRNA
Rfam family: Bacterial small subunit ribosomal RNA
Source: RNAcentral
AGGAGAGUUUGAUCCUGGCUCAGGAUGAACGCUAGCGGCAGGCUUAACACAUGCAAGUCGAGGGGCAGCGGGGUGUAGCAAUACACCGCCGGCGACCGGCGCACGGGUGCGUAACGCGUAUGCAACCUGCCCGUAACAGGGGGAUAACGGGGAGAAAUUCCCACUAAUACCCCGUAUAGCGGAGGAGCCGCAUGGUUCUUCCGCGAAAGCUUCGGCGGUUACGGAUGGGCAUGCGUGCAUUAGGUAGUUGGCGGGGCAACGGCCCACCAAGCCUACGAUGCCUAGGGGAGCUGAGAGGCUUAUCCCCCACACUGGUACUGAGACACGGACCAGACUCCUACGGGAGGCAGCAGUGAGGAAUAUUGGUCAAUGGACGGAAGUCUGAACCAGCCAUGCCGCGUGCGGGAAGACGGCCCUAUGGGUUGUAAACCGCUUUUCCCCGGGAGUAAUAAGGGCCGUGCGCGGUCCGAUGAGAGUACCGGGGGAAUAAGCAUCGGCUAACUCCGUGCCAGCAGCCGCGGUAAUACGGAGGAUGCAAGCGUUAUCCGGAUUUAUUGGGUUUAAAGGGUGCGUAGGCGGACCGUUAAGUCAGCGGUGAAAUGUCCCGGCUCAACCGGGGAGCUGCCGUUGAUACUGGCGGACUAGGGUCCAAACGGCGCCGGCGGAAUAUGUAAUGUAGCGGUGAAAUGCAUAGAUAUUACAUAGAACACCGAUCGCGAAGGCAGCUGGCGAGGAUGGCACUGACGCUGAGGCACGAAGGCGUGGGGAUCGAACAGGAUUAGAUACCCUGGUAGUCCCCU